AUCGGGAUGCAGAUGCCUGAAACUCUGCAGU
RNAcentral lists this non-coding RNA (31 nucleotides) under Macaca fascicularis (crab-eating macaque). Lineage: Eukaryota; Metazoa; Chordata; Mammalia; Primates; Cercopithecidae. RNAcentral also lists the same sequence under 1 other name. The record is from RNAcentral.